ACGGCGCGGUUGGAGGGGGAGAUCAUCUUCAUCUUGGUCACCUUGCGGUCGAUGAUCUCCUCGGGGAGGUCAAACUCGCCAACCAUGCACAGGGGGAUGGCGCCACCGCAGGGCUUGCAGUUGUCCAUCUUGCGCUCGAUGAGGAAGGUCUCGCAGCCGCCCUUGGCGAGGGUCUCCGCGGCGCAGGCGCCCGCGGGGCCGCCGCCGAUGACGGCGACGCGGAGCUUGCGGCCGUCGAGGGACUUGCCCGCAGCCUUGAUGCCGGUGUCGACGGCGGCAGC
This 281-nucleotide long non-coding RNA is filed under the name Micromonas commoda. RNAcentral describes it as "long non-coding RNA (MCOM_LNC000353)". The record is from RNAcentral. Lineage: Eukaryota; Viridiplantae; Chlorophyta; Mamiellophyceae; Mamiellales; Mamiellaceae.